This 460-nucleotide ribosomal RNA is filed under the name uncultured bacterium. Its description in RNAcentral is "partial 16S ribosomal RNA". It matches the Rfam family "Bacterial small subunit ribosomal RNA", at positions 338 to 795 of the family's 1533-position model. The record is from RNAcentral.
CCUACGGGCGGCAGCAGUGAGGAAUAUUGGUCAAUGGGCGUAAGCCUGAACCAGCCAAGUCGCGUGAGGGAUGACGGUUCUAUGGAUCGUAAACCUCUUUUAUAAGGGAAUAAAGUGUGGGACGUGUCCUAUUUUGUAUGUACCUUAUGAAUAAGGAUCGGCUAACUCCGUGCCAGCAGCCGCGGUAAUACGGAGGAUCCGAUCGUUAUCCGGAUUUAUUGGGUUUAAAGGGUGCGUAGGCGGACUUUUAAGUCAGCGGUGAAAGUCUGUGGCGCAACCAUAGAAUUGCAGUUGAAACUGGGGGUCUUGAGUAUGUUUGAGGUAGGCGGAAGUCGUGGUGUAGCGGUGAAAUGCUUAGAUAUCACGAAGAACCCCGAUUGCGAAGGCAGCCUGCCAGGCCAUGACUGACACUGAUGCACGAAAGCGUGGGGAUCAAACAGGAUUAGAUACCCUUGUAGUC